CGAGCUAACCCGUAAGGGAGGCAGCGACCUAAGGUAGGGUCAGCGAUUGGGGUGAAGUCGUAACAAGGUAGCCGUAGGAGAACCUGCGGCUGGAUCACCUCCUUUCUAUGGAGA
Molecule: ribosomal RNA, 114 nt
Filed under: Clostridium botulinum
Lineage: Bacteria; Bacillati; Bacillota; Clostridia; Eubacteriales; Clostridiaceae
Description: partial 16S ribosomal RNA
Rfam family: Bacterial small subunit ribosomal RNA
Source: RNAcentral